UUGGAGAGCUGAAGACGGUCCGCAUGCCGAAGAAAAUGUUCGGAACGGGGAAGCAUCGCGGCUUUGGGUUUGUGGAUUUCCUGACGAAGCAGGAUGCCAAGAGAGCCUUCGGUGCCCUGUGCCACAGUACCCAUCUGUAUGGCAGGAGACUGGUGCUGGAGUGGGCGGACUCGGAGGAAACGGUGGAGACCCUGAGAAGGAAGACGGCGGCGCAUUUUCACGAUCCCCCUGUCAAGAAACGGCGGACAGCCAUUUUGGAAGAGAUGUUGGAGAAGCUAGCGGAUGAUGAAGAAGACCAUGAGGAGAAUAACUAGAAUCCUCACUUCAAAACUGAAAGAACCAAACGACAGUCAACAGGAAGAGAAAAAUAUUUUAAAUUCCAAGUAGAUCUCUUAACUCAGAACCCACAAAGAAGAUGCUUCAGGACAAAUAGCCAGAAAGAAAGCACCAUCGUGCUUUGAAUUUCUCCUUGUCGCCUGCCAAUCUAGGAAACCAGCGUUGGAUACCACCACCACCCCCCGUAAAGCAAAAGCUUCAUAACCAUCUAGCAGAAAACAGUUUGAGUAUUCCUCCCCUUCCACUCCUUUCUUAAUAACGCGUCUGGUUUUUUGGAGAG
Protobothrops mucrosquamatus (brown spotted pit viper) is the source of this 616-nucleotide long non-coding RNA. RefSeq lists it as uncharacterized. NCBI's taxonomy places the organism in Eukaryota, Metazoa, Chordata, Lepidosauria, Squamata, Viperidae. The transcript is spliced from 4 exons. The record is from RefSeq and is a predicted model, not a curated record.